RNAcentral lists this ribosomal RNA (210 nucleotides) under Vibrio parahaemolyticus. RNAcentral's name for it is "partial 16S ribosomal RNA". It matches the Rfam family "Bacterial small subunit ribosomal RNA", at positions 1 to 207 of the family's 1533-position model. Lineage: Bacteria; Pseudomonadati; Pseudomonadota; Gammaproteobacteria; Vibrionales; Vibrionaceae. The record is from RNAcentral.
UAAAUUGAAGAGUUUGAUCAUGGCUCAGAUUGAACGCUGGCGGCAGGCCUAACACAUGCAAGUCGAGCGGAAACGAGUUAUCUGAACCUUCGGGGAAGGAUAACGGCGUCGAGCGGCGGACGGGUGAGUAAUGCCUAGGAAAUUGCCCUGAUGUGGGGGAUAACCAUUGGAAACGAUGGCUAAUACCGCAUGAUGCCUACGGGCCAAAGA